ACCUAGCUGGCCCAGUUGGUACAGCAUGUGACUCUUGAUCUCAGGGUUGUAAGUUCAAGCCCUGUGUUGGGUA
This is a transfer RNA of Felis catus (domestic cat), 73 nucleotides long. It matches the Rfam family "tRNA". Rfam says of the family: Transfer RNA (tRNA) molecules are approximately 80 nucleotides in length. Their secondary structure includes four short double-helical elements and three loops (D, anti-codon, and T loops). Lineage: Eukaryota; Metazoa; Chordata; Mammalia; Carnivora; Felidae. The record is from Rfam.